Small nuclear RNA from Otolemur garnettii (small-eared galago), 189 nucleotides. Its record names the gene U2. It matches the Rfam family "U2 spliceosomal RNA". Rfam says of the family: U2 is a small nuclear RNA (snRNA) component of the spliceosome (involved in pre-mRNA splicing). Complementary binding between U2 snRNA (in an area lying towards the 5' end but 3' to hairpin I) and the branchpoint sequence (BPS) of the intron results the bulging out of an unpaired adenosine, on the BPS, which initiates a nucleophilic attack at the intronic 5' splice site, thus starting the first of two transesterification reactions that mediate splicing. Lineage: Eukaryota; Metazoa; Chordata; Mammalia; Primates; Galagidae. The record is from Ensembl.
UCAGCUUCUCGGCCUUUUGGCUGAGAUCAAGUGUAGUAUCUGUUCUUAUCAGUUUAAUAUCUGAUACGUCCUCUAUCCAAAUCUACUUAAGUUCAAAUUACACUUUUAAAAAUAACUAUUAGAAACCCCAUUUAGGAGGACUGCUUGAGUUCAGGAUUUCAAGACCAGCCUGAGCAAAGGUGAGAUCCU